RNAcentral lists this ribosomal RNA (329 nucleotides) under uncultured bacterium. RNAcentral's name for it is "bacterial SSU rRNA". It matches the Rfam family "Bacterial small subunit ribosomal RNA", at positions 774 to 1081 of the family's 1533-position model. The record is from RNAcentral.
AGCUAAUAGAUACCCCGGUAGUCCUGGCAGUAAACGGUGCGCGUUUGGUGUGGGAGGAUUCGACCCCUUCUGUGCCGAAACGACUAAACGACGUUAAACGACGCCGCCUGGGGAGGUACGGUCGCAAGAUUAAAACUACAAAGAAAAUUAGACGGGGGCCCGGCACAAGCGGUGGAGUAUGUGGCUUAAUUACGAUGCAACGACGAAGAAACCUUACCUUAGCCUUGACAUGCAUCUCUAAGUCGGUGAAAGCCGGCGACUAUAGCAAUAUAGAAUUUGUCACAGGUGCUGCAUGGCUGUCGUCAGCUCGUGUCGUGAGAUGUUGGGUU